UACAGAGGUCCCAAGCGUUUGUUCGGAUUCAUUGGGCGUAAAGGGUGCGUAGGCGGCGCGGUAAGUCGGGUGUGAAAUCUCGGAGCUUAACUCCGAAACUGCAUUCGAUACUGCCGUGCUUGAGGACUGGAGAGGAGACUGGAAUUUACGGUGUAGCGGUGAAAUGCGUAGAUAAUCGUAAGGAAGACCAGUGGCGAAGGCGGCAUCCUGGACCGACACUGACACUGAGGA
This 231-nucleotide ribosomal RNA is filed under the name uncultured bacterium. RNAcentral describes it as "partial 16S ribosomal RNA". It matches the Rfam family "Bacterial small subunit ribosomal RNA", at positions 524 to 752 of the family's 1533-position model. The record is from RNAcentral.